RNAcentral lists this transfer RNA (75 nucleotides) under Halorarum halophilum. Its description in RNAcentral is "Halobaculum halophilum tRNA". It matches the Rfam family "tRNA". From Rfam's summary of the family: Transfer RNA (tRNA) molecules are approximately 80 nucleotides in length. The record is from Rfam by way of RNAcentral. Lineage: Archaea; Methanobacteriati; Methanobacteriota; Halobacteria; Halobacteriales; Haloferacaceae.
GUGCCCGUAGUUCCAAUCUGGUAGAACGGCUCCUUUGCAAGGAGAAGGCUCGGAGUUCGAAUCUCCGCGGGUACA